This is a long non-coding RNA of Ziziphus jujuba (common jujube), 1061 nucleotides long. RefSeq lists it as uncharacterized. The transcript is spliced from 2 exons. NCBI's taxonomy places the organism in Eukaryota, Viridiplantae, Streptophyta, Magnoliopsida, Rosales, Rhamnaceae. The record is from RefSeq and is a predicted model, not a curated record.
AACUGGGUUAAUACUAAAAACCAUGAAGAAGUGCAUCAAAAAGAUGCAAAAGUAGAAUCUAGCGAGAGAGAGAGAGAGAGAGAGAGAGAGAGAGAGAGAGAGAAGCACCUUUACUGUAGUCCUUAUUGGCGAGGACAAAAACAUGGAUUAAUGAUUAAAUUGUGAGUGGUUUUGUUUGAUAUGAAACACACACGUGAAGUCUUUCAUACUUUUACCAGCUGAGAAGCCAAAGAGAGGUUGAUUUCUGCAGAGGGGCAUGGGGAGACAAACCUGUCUUCUGGCUUCCUCUUGGUCUUUGCUCUCUGCCCUUUCCAUAAUCAGCAGGUUCACAAGCAUUGGGUUGGGACAUGUUUAACCAGUCCCUUGCUCAAUAAUUCUCUGCUCCCUCUCUCUCUCUCUCUCUCUCUCUCUCUCUGUGUGUCUGCAUUGCAUUUCUUCUCUCUCUCUCUCUCUCUCUAUAUAUAUAUAUAUAUAUAUAUAUAUAUUGAUAUACCAGGAGUUCCAUCCUUUACCUCCCAAAGCAUAGAGACGUCUUCUAUCAAGCUGAAUAAAUAAUGAAAUCUCUGCAUAUAAUUUUAUUUUGUCUCCUAACUGCUGCCUAUCUUUUUUCCCAAAACAUCAAUUCUUCAUCUUUAGUUUUUCCCAGAAGAAGACAGUCCCCGAGAAAGUUAAGCCUGCCAUCGAUUAAUCACAAGCACGAAUACCAGGCAACCCAGGUUGGUGAAGAAAAAUCUAAAUCAAGAAGAGUCCAAGAAAGUUUCAUGCCAUCCAAAUAUGAAAAAAGUGACAAAAAAUUAGAUGAGCUUGUUUAUAACAUGGAUUACCAUGGAGUGACUACUCAUCCAACUCCAACACCGAAGCAUCCCAAACCAUAGAAUACAAUAAACCUUCCUGAUGGAAGUUCUCUCGCCUUCAUAAUCGAAAGACUAUGCAGACGUACUAUAUUUAUCAUUAAUAGUUUCAUAUAUGUAAUGAUUGAGUCAUAUAUUUGAAAAAAAAACAAAAGAUGUUCAAAUCAUCUUUGAAGUGUCCUAUGUCUAUUCUUACUUACUAUUCUCCUA